AGUUAGGUACUUAGGGACUUAGAGACAUGUUAGUGUGGAGAGCAAAUAGAUAUUAUAGGAUUAAAUUGGACUUACUCCACAAGAGAAUCGUUUUCGGUCGGAGCUUUCGACAUGUAUUACAUGUCCUCUUCAGCGAAGGUCGGUAAUCGGGGCGAAAAUAAAACGUUCGGGUCGAAUCGAAUCGCACAAGAUGUCGGUGAGCUGCGCAGAGUUAUUUAGGCCGCUUGAAUUAUAAAAUAAGCAAGACUGAAACACGUGACGACAAUAAGAGUACACUCAAUGAGAAAGUCUACCAAAAAACAAGAA
Long non-coding RNA from Amphibalanus amphitrite, 306 nucleotides. RefSeq lists it as uncharacterized. The record is from RefSeq and is a predicted model, not a curated record. The transcript has 3 exons. NCBI's taxonomy places the organism in Eukaryota, Metazoa, Arthropoda, Thecostraca, Balanomorpha, Balanidae.